AGCGAACGCUGGCGGCAGGCCUAACACAUGCCAGUCGAACGAACUCUUCGGAGUUAGUGGCGGACGGGUGAGUAACACGUGGGAACGUGCCUUUUGGUUCGGAAUAACUCAGGGAAACUUGUGCUAAUACCGAAUGUGCCCUUCGGGGGAAAGAUUUAUCGCCAUUAGAGCGGCCCGCGUCUGAUUAGCUACUUGGUGAGGUAACGGCUCACCAAGGCGACGAUCAGUAGCUGGUCUGAGAGGAUGACCAGCCACACUGGGACUGAGACACGGCCCAGACUCCUACGGGAGGCAGCAGUGGGGAAUCUUGCGCAAUGGGCGAAAGCCUGACGCAGCCAUGCCGCGUGAAUGAUGAAGGUCUUAGGAUUGUAAAAUUCUUUCACCGGGGACGAUAAUGACGGUACCCGGAGAAGAAGCCCCGGCUAACUUCGUG
Molecule: ribosomal RNA, 433 nt
Filed under: uncultured bacterium
Lineage: Bacteria
Description: partial 16S ribosomal RNA
Rfam family: Bacterial small subunit ribosomal RNA
Source: RNAcentral